Long non-coding RNA from Onthophagus taurus, 623 nucleotides. RefSeq lists it as uncharacterized. The record is from RefSeq and is a predicted model, not a curated record. NCBI's taxonomy places the organism in Eukaryota, Metazoa, Arthropoda, Insecta, Coleoptera, Scarabaeidae.
AAAUAAUUUUUUAACAUUAAUAUCAACAACCAGAUCAUAUUUAUUAAUAAAUAACAACGUCGUACGUUUUAAGAACGUUUUAUAAAACGUUACAAUAGGAGAUAUACACCGAGUACAACGUCAAACGUCGAUUGAAGAGACUUAAAAACAUCUAUAUUGGAGUUAAAAAAUAAUGUUUUAUAAAGAAAUCGUUUCGAAUAGGUUUUUUUCAUUUCAAUGACAAGGUCACUGACAAAAAGAACUUAAAAAAACCUUGACUUCGUAAGGUUGUAACCCGACGUCGACUUCUGGCUCUGUUGUUGUAACAAAAACCUAAAGGCAACGCUGGGGCACAAAGAGAACCAGUGAAAGUGAGAGAAGCAUCGGAAAAGAGUCGGAGACUUCUUUGGAGGGAGAGUUGGAAGUCAACACAAGUCAUUGAUAUAUUUAGAACUGAUACUUCUCUUUAUUUCUUUAUUCAUUUUGAAAUCGUGCGAUGACUUUUUUAAAAUGCAAAUUAUUAAAAAGUAAAGGAACUUCUCGGAAAAGUCGGAUCCUUUUCGAAUAUUAACUAAAUAAAAAUGUAACGCAUUUACCAGAAAGCUAAGAGUAAAUAAAAAUCUAUUUUGAUUAAUGCCAUCACA